This 885-nucleotide ribosomal RNA is filed under the name Julica schmidtii schmidtii. RNAcentral's name for it is "Julica schmidtii partial large subunit ribosomal RNA". Lineage: Eukaryota; Metazoa; Mollusca; Gastropoda; Stylommatophora; Clausiliidae. The record is from RNAcentral.
UUAAAUAAUAAUUAAUAUAAUUUAUCUUUACCCGAAGUAAGAAGAGCUAACUAGCUAUUUAAUUUUUAGUUUUUGUUGUAUAAUGUAGCAAAAUUAUAUUAUAAAUAGAUAGUUAGGAGUGAAAGGCUAUUCAAUUCUUAUUAAUAACUGGAUUAAAUCAAAAUAUAUUAAGUAUAUGUUAAUCAAUUGUAUAAUGCUAAGAUUAUACAAAGAGAAUAAACUAAUUAGAGAAAUACAGAUUAUUUUCUUAAAAGAAGCCAAUAUAUUAGUUAUACACAUUAAUGUUAAAUUCUUUUUCUUGUUAUAGAUUUAUAAUAAUAAAAGCAAUGAGACCCUAAUAGUUAAUAAUGUUUAAAUUAGUAUAAAUAAUAAAAAGUAGCAAGGAACUCGGCAAAAGACAUUUUUUCAACUGUUUAUCAAAAACAUAGCUAGUUGCAUUUAUAAUUGGUUAUCUCUGCCCAGUGUAUAUUAUUAACGGCCGCAGUACACUGACUGUGCUAAGGUAGCAUAAUAAAUUGGCUUUUAAUUGAAGUCGGGAAUGAACGAGUCUAUGAAAAACAACUGUCUUUUUACUUUUAUUAAGAAGUUACUAAGAAAGUGCAAAUACUUUCUAUAAGUCAUAUAAUAGACGAGAAGACCCUGUAAAUUUUAAUUUCUUAUAUAAUUUAUUAUAUUAAACAUCUUUUUGUUGGGGCAACAGUUUAACAGUAAUUAAAUUUAAAUAAACAUCAAUGAAAUAAUUUACCAAGUAAUACUAAUAAUAACUAAAUUACUACAGGGAUAACAGCAUAAUUUUAUAUAUAAGAUUGUGACCUCGAUGUUGGAUUAGGGCCACGUUAGAUCAGCCAUUUAAUAGUGCUGGUUCUGUUCGAACUAUUAACCCCU